This 2060-nucleotide long non-coding RNA is filed under the name Daucus carota (carrot). Its description in RNAcentral is "long non-coding RNA (DCAR_LNC002917)". The record is from RNAcentral. Lineage: Eukaryota; Viridiplantae; Streptophyta; Magnoliopsida; Apiales; Apiaceae.
CAGAAUAUUAAAAAUUCAGAUUAUCCAAAACAACCAAAGACUUAAAACAAGUAAAAACCCAUAACUUAGUCGACUUCCUCAAUUUUGGGACCAGCGCUGCCUCCAGCACCUGAUGGGAUGUCAUCAUCAUCCAUAGGAGCACCUUCACCUCCUGCACCCUGGUACAUCUUUGCAAUGAUGGGGUUGCAGAUGCUCUCCAACUCCUUCAUUUUGUCUUCAAAUUCAUCGGCCUCGGCAAGCUGGUUGCUUUCCAGCCACUGGAUACUGCCCUCAAUGGCUUCCUCUACCUUGGUCUUGUCAUCUGCGGAGAGCUUGGAAGCUAUCUUCUCAUCCUUCACAGUGUUCCUCAUGUUGUAUGCAUAGUUCUCCAAUGCAUUCUUUGCUUCAACCUUCUUCUUGUGUUCUUCAUCCUCUGACUUGUACUUCUCAGCUUCCUGGACCAUCUUCUCAAUUUCCUCCUUGGAGAGUCUACCCUUGUCAUUGGUGAUGGUGAUCUUGUUCUUCUGUCCAGUAGUCUUGUCCUCAGCAGACACAUUUAGGAUACCAUUGGCAUCAAUGUCAAAGCAAACAGUGAUCUGAGGAACACCCCUUGGAGCCGGAGGAAUGCCAGAGAGCUCAAACUUACCCAGUAAGUUGUUGUCCCUGGUCCUGGUUCUCUCACCUUCAUAAACCUGAAUCAACACACCAGGCUGGUUGUCGGAGUAGGUGGAAAAGACCUGCUCUUUCUUGGUAGGGAUAGUUGUGUUUCUUUGAAUCAAGACGGUCAUGACACCUCCAGCUGUUUCCAAACCAAGGGAAAGAGGGGUAACAUCCAAUAGAAGAAGAUCCUGCACCUUCUCAUUGCCUUCACCACUUAAGAUUGCUGCUUGUACAGCAGCCCCAUAAGCCACAGCCUCAUCAGGAUUAAUACUUUUGCAGAGCUCCUUUCCAUUGAAAAAAUCCUGCAACAGCUGCUGAACCUUUGGAAUCCUGGUAGAUCCACCAACAAGAACAACAUCAUGGAUAGUGCUUUUGUCCAUCUUUGCGUCCCUCAAACACUUCUCAACAGGCUCCAUACACUUCCUGAAGAGAUCCAUGUUAAGCUCCUCAAAUCUGGCUCUAGUGAUGGUAGAGUAGAAAUCUAUGCCCUCAAACAAAGAAUCAAUCUCAAUGGUGGUUUGAGCAGUGGAUGAGAGGGUCCUCUUCGCUCUCUCACAAGAUGUUCUCAACCUUCUAAGAGCCCUUGGGUUGCCAGUAAUGUCUUUCUUGUUCUUCCUCUUAAAUUCCUGAACAAAGUGGUUAACCAUUCUGUUGUCAAAGUCUUCACCACCGAGAUGGGUAUCACCAGCAGUAGCCUUGACCUCAAAGAUACCCUCCUCAAUAGUAAGGAGAGACACAUCAAAAGUUCCACCACCAAGAUCAAAAAUCAAGACAUUCUUCUCACCGACGCUGGUUGCUUUUUUGUCUAGACCAUAAGCAAUGGCAGCAGCUGUAGGUUCAUUAAUGAUACGCAACACAUUAAUACCUGCAAUGACACCUGCAUCCUUGGUAGCUUGACGCUGAGAGUCAUUGAAGUAUGCGGGGACUGUAACCACAGCAUUCUUAACUGUUGUACCAAGGAAAGCCUCAGCAAUCUCACGCAUCUUAAUAAGAACCAUUGAAGAGAUCUCCUCAGCUGCAAAUUGCUUGUCCUCACCCUUGUAGGCAACUGUGAUCAUGGGUUUCUCGCCAGGUCCAGGGGUGAUUUUGAAUGGCCAUAGCUUAAUAUCACUCUGCACAGAGGCAUCAGAGAAUCUCCUGCCUAUCAACCUCUUGGCAUCUGUCGAACAACAAAAAUAAUAUAAGUACCAGCCAGUUCUUUAAACUAAAGAAAACGUCAACUGUUGUUGCAGGUUUAAAUUGUCAGAAACUAAAGUACAAGUGAGAAGUUUUAUAAGAUCACAGAUACAGGUAUAACCUCCCACGAAUAUUACAAACAAAAUCAAUAGCAGGCACGGGUAAACAGGUAAAAGAAACCAUUUUAGUUAAUAGUUAAGUUGUCAAAUAUUUAUGAAGAUAUUCUACAAAAGAACAAAAUAAAA